Ameiurus melas (black bullhead) is the source of this 95-nucleotide non-coding RNA. The record is from the annotation of a GenBank genome assembly. NCBI's taxonomy places the organism in Eukaryota, Metazoa, Chordata, Actinopteri, Siluriformes, Ictaluridae.
UGCACGGUGGCUUAGUGGUUAGCACGUUCGCCUCACGUUCGCCUCACGUUCGCCUCACACCUCCAGGGUCCCGGGUUCGAUUCCCGCCAGGGCCG